Molecule: long non-coding RNA, 1498 nt
Filed under: Mus musculus (house mouse)
Lineage: Eukaryota; Metazoa; Chordata; Mammalia; Rodentia; Muridae
Description: predicted gene, 49272
Source: RNAcentral
UGCUUUUAAUAUUCUAUCUUUAUUUAGUGCAUUUGUUGUUCUGAUUAUUUUGUGUCGGGAGGAAUUUCCUUUCUGGUCCAGUCUAUUUGGAGUUCGGUAGGCUUCUUGUAUGUUCAUGGGCAUCUUUCUUUAUGUUUGGAAAGUUUUCUUCUAUUAUUUUGUUGAAGAUAUUUGCUGGCCCUUUAAGGUGAAAAUCUUCCUUCUCAUCUACUCCUAUUAUCUGUAGUUUUGGUCUUCUCAUUGUGUCCUCUAUUUCCUGGAUGUUUUGAGUUAGGAUCUUUUUGCAUUUUCCAUUUUCUUUGAUUGUUGUGCUGAUGUUUUCUAUGGAAUCUUCUGCACCUGAGAUUCUCUCUUCCAUCUCUUGUAUUCUGUUGGUCAUGCUUGCAUCUAUGGUUCCAGAUUUCUUUCCUAGUGUUUUAUCUUCCCUUUUUAGGUCUAGUAUGGCUUUGUCAUUUCCAUCACCUGUUUGGAUGUUUUUUCCUGUUUUUCUUUAAGGACUUGUUACUCUUUAGCAUUGUUGUCCUGUAUUUCUUUAAGUGAGUUAUUAAAGUCCUUCUUGAUGUCCUCUACCAUUAUCAUGAGAUAUGCUUUUAAAUCCGGUCUAGCUUUUCGGGUGUGUUUGGGUGCCCAGGACUUGGUGAGGUGGGAGCGCUGCAUUCUGAUGAUGGUGAGUGGUCUUGGCUUCUGUUAGUAAGAUUCUUACGUUUGUCUCUCGCCAUCUUGUAAUGUCUGGAGUCAGUUGUUAUAAUGGUCUCUGGUUAGAGCUUGUUCCUCUUGUGAUUCUGUUAGUCUCUAUCAGAAGACCUGGGAGACUAGCUCUCUCCUGAGUCUCAGUCGUCAGAGCACUCUCUGCAGGCAAGCUCUUCUCUUGCAGGGAAGUUGCCCAGAUAUCUGGUGUUCGAACCUGCCUCCUGGCAGAAGUUGUGUUCCACUCACCAGAGGUCCUAAGAUCCUGUGGAGAGUGCUCUGGGAAACUUGGGGGUGUCUGCAGACUCCACGCCCAAGGUAACUUGGUGCUGGGGAUGACUGGAAGGGACUUGUGACCCUGGUCAGUCCGGGUUUUAUGCUUCCCUAAUUAAUGCUGUCUCAGGUCCCAAGCGAUUGGAUUGGAACAGAAGUUGUGUUCUACUCACCAGAGGUCCUAAGGUCCCAUGGAGAGCGCUCUGAGGACCUUGGGGGUGUCCACAGACUCUGAGCCCAAGGUGACCCAGUGCUGGGCCAACCGGAAGGAAGAAUAUAGAUUUGGGAGUGAGCAGGUACCAGAAAUGUUCAUAAGUAAAGGGACAGCCGGCCACCUUCCUGGUGAGAGCACGGGGGUCUGCCUGGCCUGAGAGGUUUGUGGCACAGGCGCCGGCGGGAGCCUUCUUGGCUCCGGGACUCCGCGGAGGGCAGGCUGCACGGGUGACCGUGUGGAAUACAGAGUGCCAGCUGUUUCUGGGACGGGCGAGAGAGUCGCAGAGCUUCUGGGCGGCGCCAUCUUCAGCUCUAGACAGCCGGC